UGGGGAAUAUUGCGCAAUGGGGGAAACCCUGACGCAGCCAUGCCGCGUGAGUGAAGAAGGUCUUCGGAUCGUAAAGCUCUUUCAACGGUGAAGAUGAUGACGGUAGCAGGUAAAGAAACCCCGGCUAACUCCGUGCCAGCAGCCGCGGUAAUACGGAGGGGGUUAGCGUUGUUCGGAAUUACUGGGCGUAAAGCGCACGUAGGCGGACCAGAAAGUUGGGGGUGAAAUCCCGGGGGCUCAACCCCGGAACUGCCUCCAAAACUAUUGGUCUAGAGUUCGAGAGAGGUGAGUGGAAUUCCAAGUGUAGAGGUGAAAUUCGUAGAUAUUUGGAGGAACACCAGUGGCGAAGGCGGCUCACUGGCUCGAUACUGACGCUGAGGUGCGAAAGUGUGGGGAGCAAACAGGAUUAGAUACCCUGGUAGUCCACACCGUAAAACGAUGAAUGCCAGUCGUCGGGUAGCAUGCUAUUCGGUGACACACCUAACGGAUUAAGCAUUCCGCCUGGGGAGUACGGUCGCAAGAUUAAAA
This 528-nucleotide ribosomal RNA is filed under the name uncultured bacterium. RNAcentral describes it as "bacterial SSU rRNA". It matches the Rfam family "Bacterial small subunit ribosomal RNA", at positions 355 to 899 of the family's 1533-position model. The record is from RNAcentral.